UAUGAAUAUUAGAUGGAUGCCCAU
This 24-nucleotide non-coding RNA is filed under the name Arabidopsis thaliana (thale cress). The record is from RNAcentral. Lineage: Eukaryota; Viridiplantae; Streptophyta; Magnoliopsida; Brassicales; Brassicaceae.